RNAcentral lists this long non-coding RNA (3318 nucleotides) under Anolis carolinensis (green anole). Its description in RNAcentral is "lncRNA (ENSACAG00000038307.1)". The record is from RNAcentral. Lineage: Eukaryota; Metazoa; Chordata; Lepidosauria; Squamata; Anolidae.
AAGGAGUAAUAGAGCUGGGUAUCAUCCACAUACAUACAUGUUGAAAGUAUUAUAAUGUUACAAAAUUAUAUUGUUCAUGUACCUUUAACAGGUAAUAUGCUUUGUCAAUUUGAUACAGGUGGAGCUGUGUUUGUUAUAUAUAUAUUCUUUGCACUUUGCACUCUGCCUGUUCUGCUGUGUUUUUCUCUCUGAGUUUUGUUUUGUUCUUGCAUUAUGCUUCUGUAUUAAAUUAAGUUUGACCACAUUACUUCAGGGCUUUUGUUUCUGCUGCAGCUUUAUUUUUUAAUACUCUGCAACCUAAGGAUUUUACCUUUGCUAACAGGUUAUGGGCCCAGAAAACUACAAAGCCAAUGUGUUUGUGCUGAUGUUUUAUUUUGAAGUAUGUGGUUUGAAAAGUUUUUUUUGCUCCUGCUGUUUUGAAGAGCAGCGAAGUUUAAAAGCGGCAGUUUGCUGCUGAAUGCUGAACCUUGGGAGAGACCUGGAGGCAUGAAGAAGAUUUAUAGCCUGCUAUGGUGAAGUGUUUGUUUGGUUUGCCUUCUACAUGCUUGUGCAACUAGGGCCAAUUUUUUAUUGCUUUCCUUUUAUGCCUUGCAUGGAAGGUUUUCUCUUCAGUAAAUAUUUUGGAAGCUGAAAGAAGAAACUAAAAGUCUGUGAGUCAGACCCUGCUUGUAUUCCAAAGAAAUACAGCGAAGUUUGGAAGAAACCAGUAAUUUCAUGGAGGAGUGAGUAAAGACUGGCUGGUCUGAAACCCUUUUUCUGGAACUUUGGAGCUUUAAAGUAAAAGAACACAAUGGCCUUGCCGCCUGUUCAAGUGAGUUCACUCCCGUUUGAGAGACUGAAUGAUAAGAAUUGGCUGAGUUGGAGUAUAAGAUUUAAAGCUUAUCUGGUUUCUCAGAAUUUAUGGAAAAUAAUUGAGAAUUUGCCAGCUCAAUUAACUCCUGCUGAGCAACACCAAGAUGAAAGAGCAUUGGCGCUGCUUCAGUUGUCUGUGACGGAUUUUUUGUUGGUUCACCUUCAUAAUAUUCCUCAUGCACAAACUGCAUGGAAUUUGUUUAAAGAUAUGUUCCAAAGACAAUCAAGUGGCUCAAAGAUAAUUCUUAUGCACCAGCUGUUUAACCUCAAACAUGAGGAAGGCACUCCAGUUCAAUCUCACAUUACAAAAGUUGUGGCUCUUUUUUCAGAAUUGAGAGCAAGAGAUAUUAUUUUUCCUCCUGAGCAACAAGCAUUAAUUUUAAUGGGGUCUUUAUCUCUCUCUUAUUAUGCAUUUAUUGACUCUCUUCAUGGAAUUCCAGACAUGGAUCUCACGAUACCGUUUAUUUUGGGGAAAAUAAUGGAAUUUGAAGCUCAACGUAAAUUGGGAAGUGUUGAUUCUAUACAGAAGAAUCUGGGAACUGUUUCUAAGGACACUGCUUGUAAAGACACUGCUUGUGUUGCUAAGCCAAAAUCACAAGUUGUAUGCUAUAAAUGCAAAAAGAAAGGGCAUUAUGCUAAGAAUUGCUGGCAGAAUCCAGGACAAUGGAAAAAUAAGCAGGUGGAGAGACCUAGUUCUUCAAAGGAUUUUCAGCAUGCUUUCCUGGUGACUUCUAAAAUGGAUACCAUGAACUCUUUCAUCAUUGACUCGGGCUGUUCUCAACAUUUGGUAAAGUGUAAGGAACUGUUAUCAAAUGUGAGAGACUCUGAUAUAAAUUUUAUUUCUUUGGCAGAUGAUAGAAAAGUACAAGUAAUUUCUUGUGGUGAUCUUUAUGUUGAUCGUCUGAAAUGUACUUUUGAGAAUGUGUACUAUGUAAAAGAAAUUGUGUAUAAUAUUCUCAGUGCCAACAUACUUUUGGAUGAAGGUUUUGAGGUGUCUUUAAAGAAAGAAAAGUCUAUGCUGGUUGAUCCUCAAGGUAACGAAGUGAAACUGAUACAAGAAAAGGGAUUUUUUAUUUUAAAGUCAUCUGAUAAUGCUAAUAUGUCUGCUUGCAUUAACCAGAUACCUGAUAAUCCCAGGCCAUUACAUAGCAAAUGUAUUCAUGAAUUUCAUAGAAAAAUGGGUCAUUUGUCAUGGCAGUAUUUAAGGCAGACAGCUGAGUUGUGUGAGAUUCCUAUUCAAGGAUGUAAGAAUUUUCUAGAUUGUGAAAUUUGUGCAUCAGAAAAUCUUAAGAAAGCUCCUAUUGCAAAAUACAGUACUAGAGUUUCAAAAAGGAUCUUAGAGCUUGUUCAUAUUGACAUAUCUGGUCCUCACCCUACUUCUGUAGGAGGGUCAAAAUAUUUUUUGAUUUUGGUAGAUGAUUUUUCAAGGCUGAAAUUCACCUUCUUUCUAAAGACUAAAGGUGAAGUUUUUCAAAAACUUUCUGUUUGGCUGAAGUUAAUGAAGACACAGUUUCCUAAGUACCCGGUAAAAGCUUUUCAGAGUGAUCGUGGUGCUGAGUUUAUGUCCAAACAAAUGCAGAAUUUGUUUAAAAAGUUUGGUAUAGUCCACAGGUUAACAAAUCCUUACUCACCCAGUGAAAAUGGUGUUGCAGAAAGGUGGAUAGGCGUUGUAAAGGUUGUGGCUAGAAAAAUGCUAAGAGAUGCUAGUUUAUCUGAUGGAUUGUGGGCUGAAGCCGUGGCAAACGCUACUUAUGUGCUCAAUCGUUCGUUUUGUAGAAGUGUUAAUAGUAUUCCUUAUGUAUUGUUUUUUGGGAAAAUUCCUGAUUUGAGUUCAAUCAGAGUUUUUGGAAGUGACUCAUUUGUCUUAAUUCCUUCUCAACAAAGACAUAAAAAGGAUGCUAUCUGGAAGAAAUUGAAAUAUCUUGGCCCUGCAUCUGAAUCAAAAGGUUGGAGGUUUUGGUGUGGUGACAAUCGAGUGACUGUGUCUAGAAAUGUGAAGUUCCAACAAUAUAGUGGUUGGGAAAGGAUACAUUCAAAUAAGGAAGUGUUUGUGCCUUUUGAAACUGCUCAAAUGCACACACCUCAAGUCACACAGCCAACUACACAACAAGUUUCACAGCAGACUGCUACACAAACGAAUACACAGGUGCAAUCAGUGUCACAACAGACUGCACAGCAAAAUAUACAACCAAGCACUUCUCAAGAUACACAGUUGGGAACACAAGUGCGAGUGAAGCAAGAAUCUACUACUAGUCAGUUACAAGUUAGUAGUCCUGUGAUUAAACAAAGUGAAUCUCAAAAGAGAAAAGCUGAAGUUUAUAGUUCAGAAAGUACUAGCUCUAGUAAUUCUGAGAGUGAUGAAACUAAUGGAGGAGAUAGUACUAGGACCAUUCCUAGGCGCAGUUCUAGGAAAAACAAAGGUAUUCCAUCUUGUCUCUUUACAUUAGCUAGAGGCCCCAAUCUGCA